UGCAGUCGAGCGCACUCUUCGGAGUGAGCGGCGGACGGGUUAGUAACGCGUGGGAACAUACCCUUCUCUACGGAAUAGCCUCGGGAAACUGAGAGUAAUACCGUAUACGCCCUUCGGGGGAAAGAUUUAUCGGAGAAGGAUUGGCCCGCGUUAGAUUAGAUAGUUGGUGGGGUAAUGGCCUACCAAGUCUACGAUCUAUAGCUGGUUUUAGAGGACGAUCAGCAACACUGGGACUGAGACACGGCCCAGACUCCUACGGGAGGCAGCAGUGGGGAAUCUUAGACAAUGGGCGCAAGCCUGAUCUAGCCAUGCCGCGUGAGUGAAGAAGGCCCUAGGGUCGUAAAGCUCUUUCGCCAGGGAUGAUAAUGACAGUACCUGGUAAAGAAACCCCGGCUAACUCCGUGCCAGCAGCCGCGGUAAUACGGAGGGGGUUAGCGUUGUUCGGAAUUACUGGGCGUAAAGCGUACGUAGGCGGAUCAGAAAGUUGGGGGUGAAAUCCCAGGGCUCAACCCUGGAACUGCCUCCAAAACUCCUGGUCUUGAGUUCGAGAGAGGUGAGUGGAAUUCCAAGUGUAGAGGUGAAAUUCGUAGAUAUUUGGAGGAACACCAGUGGCGAAGGCGGCUCACUGGCUCGAUACUGACGCUGAGGUACGAAAGUGUGGGGAGCAAACAGGAUUAGAUACCCUGGUAGUCCACACCGUAAACGAUGAAUGCCAGUCGUCGGGCAGUAUACUGUUCGGUGACACA
Molecule: ribosomal RNA, 746 nt
Filed under: Sulfitobacter sp.
Lineage: Bacteria; Pseudomonadati; Pseudomonadota; Alphaproteobacteria; Rhodobacterales; Roseobacteraceae
Description: bacterial SSU rRNA
Rfam family: Bacterial small subunit ribosomal RNA
Source: RNAcentral